Molecule: ribosomal RNA, 253 nt
Filed under: uncultured bacterium
Lineage: Bacteria
Description: partial 16S ribosomal RNA
Rfam family: Bacterial small subunit ribosomal RNA
Source: RNAcentral
UACGUAGGGUGCGAGCGUUAAUCGGAAUUACUGGGCGUAAAGCGUGCGCAGGCGGUUUGGUAAGACAGAUGUGAAAUUCCCGGGCUUCACCUGGGAACUGCAGUUGCGACUGCCAGGCUAGAGUGCGGCAGAGGGGAGGGGAAUUCCGCGUGUAGCAGCGAAAUGCGUAGAUAUGCGGUGAAACGCCGAUGGCGAAGGCAACUCCCUGGGCCUGCACUUUCGCUCAGGCACGACAGCGUGUGGAGCAAACAGG